GACGAACGCUGGCGGCGUGCUUAACACAUGCAAGUCGAGCGGUAAGGCCCGUUUCGGGGUACACGAGCGGCGAACGGGUGAGUAACACGUGGGUGACCUGCCCUCAGCUCUGGGAUAAGCCUGGGAAACCGGGUCUAAUACUGGAUAUGACUCCAUGACGCAUGUUGGUGGGGUGGAAAGCCUUGUGCGGCUGAGGAUGGGCCCGCGGCCUAUCAGCUUGUUGGGUGGGGUGANGGCCUACCAAGGCGACGACGGGUAGCCGGCCUGAGAGGGCGACCGGCCACACUAGGACUGAGACACGGCCCAGACUCCGUACGGGAGGCAGCAGGUGGGGAAUCUUGCGCAAUGGGCGAAAGCCUGACGCAGCGACGCCGCGUGAGGGAUGACGGCC
This 391-nucleotide ribosomal RNA is filed under the name uncultured bacterium. RNAcentral's name for it is "bacterial SSU rRNA". It matches the Rfam family "Bacterial small subunit ribosomal RNA", at positions 28 to 416 of the family's 1533-position model. The record is from RNAcentral.